UUAUCAUUAUAGUAAUAUGAACGUGCAUACUACCGAUAAUUUGUAAACUUCCAUUUUCAAACUUGCCGCAAAAGACAAAGUCAACCAAGACAACCAUUUCCUUUUCUGAUUGAAAUCGCUGAUUCACCGGGAUUGAUAUCCCGCGUUCCCGUUUUUAAUACCAAUCACCAAGAAUCAUUUACCUUACUUUUGCUUGUUUCUAUAAAUUUCGGAAACUUCAACUUGUUUCUAUAAAUUUCGAAUCAUGCCAAGACUAUAAAUACCAAGACCAUCAUCACUGUUUCACUCCCACACAACCUGUUCGAACACCACACCCUCAAAUACUCUCUCUGCCGCCGCCGGAGAAGUCGCCGUCGCCGGAGAAGUCGCCGUCGCCGGAUAAGAAGACCGGGACUUGCAUCUUCGCCGGAGCUGUACCAGGGUCACGCUGGAGUUACAUCGGCCUCGGGUCGGAAACACUACAAGUGGCCGGAGAAUCGGAGAAGACAACCGGAGUUUGGUCGGAGAUGCGAAGACGCCGCCAACUCGUUACGUAUUCGGUUGAUAGUCAAGAUGAUGAAGCAAUCAAGUUAGGAUGGACUAGAUACCCAUUUUAGCAAUAAACUAUUUGUUUGAAUUUAUGUUUGAAUAUUCGAAACUUUGUAUUGCCCUUUAGAAUUUAAUAAAAUGAUUUAAUUCAUAUUGUCACAUUUAGUGUUAUGUUAUUUUGAGCAAUUUGUUCGUCUCAUCCUGAUGUUUCCGCCAUCGGUUGCGGUGUGACAACCACCUAGACCUCCAGUUCCGCAACCAGCACCUCAACCACGUUUCUCUCCUCCUGAGCAGGAAGAGAUACUCCAACGAUUAGAUCGUGUGGAGAGAGAGUUCGAGGAAGAGAAAAAGAGCCACCGAGGUUUCCUCAAGGGCUUGGCAAACCUACUAAAGGGCAAGAAGAAGAAACGUGAUCACUAGUCCUUAUAAACGUACUAAUGUAAUUUCUAUUUUGAAAUAAGUCCCUGCGUGGACACUUAUCGUAUUUUAGUCCCUACAUGGACUUAUCCGUUAAUCCCUACAAGGACACAUGUCGUGUACUAGUCCUUGUAUGGACCUGUCUUUUAUUUAACCAUUAUAGAGGUAUGUGCUUGUUUUAAAGACCCGUUUAGGACAGUAUGCAGUUGUAAUUGCAAUUAUGGAAUGUUAU
This 1177-nucleotide long non-coding RNA is filed under the name Helianthus annuus (common sunflower). RNAcentral's name for it is "hypothetical non coding rna". The record is from RNAcentral. Lineage: Eukaryota; Viridiplantae; Streptophyta; Magnoliopsida; Asterales; Asteraceae.